AUUGAACGCUGGCGGCAUGCCUUACACAUGCAAGUCGAACGGCAGCGCGGACUUCGGUCUGGCGGCGAGUGGCGAACGGGUGAGUAAUACAUCGGAACGUACCCUGUUGUGGGGGAUAACUAGUCGAAAGAUUAGCUAAUACCGCAUACGACCUGAGGGUGAAAGCGGGGGACCGCAAGGCCUCACGCAGCAGGAGCGGCCGAUGUGGGAUUAGGUAGUUGGUGGGGUAAAGGCCCACCAAGGCGACGAUCAGUAGCGGGUCUGAGAGGACGAUCAGCCACACUGGGACUGGGACACGGCCCGGGCUCCUACGGGAGGCAGGAGUGGGGAAUUUUGGACAAUGGGGGCAACCCUGAUCCAGCAAUGCCGCGUGUGUGAAGAAGGCCUUCGGGUUGUAAAGCACUUUUGUCCGGAAAGAAAUCGCGCUGGUUAAUACCUGGCGUGGAUGACGGUACCGGAAGAAUAAGCACCGGCUAACUACGUGCCAGCCGCCGCCGUAA
This 500-nucleotide ribosomal RNA is filed under the name uncultured bacterium. Its description in RNAcentral is "partial 16S ribosomal RNA". It matches the Rfam family "Bacterial small subunit ribosomal RNA", at positions 29 to 523 of the family's 1533-position model. The record is from RNAcentral.